CUCCGGUUGAUCCUGCCGGACCUGACUGCUAUCGGAUUGGUACUAAGCCAUGCGAGUCAUUGUAGCAAUACAAGGCGGACGGCUCAGUAACACGUAGUCAACCUAACUCGUGGACGUGGAUAACCUCGGGAAACUGAGAAUAAACCACGAUAGAUCAUAGUGCCUGGAAUGGCUUAUGGUCCAAACAGUUUACUGCCAUGGGAUGGGACUGCGGCCUAUCAGCUUGUUGGUGAGGUAAUGGCCCACCAAGGCGAUUACAGGUACGGGCUCUGAGAGGAGAAGCCCGGAGAUGGGUACUGAGACACGGACCCAGGCCCUAUGGGGCGCAGCAGGCGAGAAACCUUAGCAAUGUGCGAAAGCACGACUGGGUCAGUCCGAGUGAUUCCUGAUAAAGGAGUCUUUUGCUUGUCCUAAAAGCACAGGUGAAUAAGGGGUGGGCAAGUCUGGUGUCAGCCGCCGCGGUAAUACCAGCACCUCGAGUGGUCAGGACGUUUAUUGGGCCUAAAGCAUCCGUAGCCGGCUCUGCAAGUCUUCGGUUAAAUCCACCUGCUCAACAGAUGGGCUGCUGGAGAUACUACAGAGCUAGGGAGUGGGAGAGGCAGACGGUAUUCAGUGGGUAGGGGUAAAAUCCUCUGAUCCAUUGAGGACCACCAGUGGCGAAGGCGGUCUGCCAGAACACGUUCGACGGUGAGGGAUGAAAGCUGGGGGAGCAAACCGGAUUAGAUACCCGGGUAGUCCCAGCUGUAAACGAUGCAAACUCGGUGAUGCAUUGGCUUAUGGCCAAUGCAGUGCCGCAGGGAAGCCGUUAAGUUUGCCGCCUGGGAAGUACGGACGCAAGUCUGAAACUUAAAGGAAUUNGGGCGGGGAGCA
Molecule: ribosomal RNA, 870 nt
Filed under: uncultured archaeon
Lineage: Archaea
Description: bacterial SSU rRNA
Rfam family: Archaeal small subunit ribosomal RNA
Source: RNAcentral